This 451-nucleotide ribosomal RNA is filed under the name bacterium AC2030B. RNAcentral describes it as "bacterial SSU rRNA". It matches the Rfam family "Bacterial small subunit ribosomal RNA", at positions 28 to 459 of the family's 1533-position model. The record is from RNAcentral.
GAUGAACGCUGGCGGCGUGCCUAACACAUGCAAGUCGAACGGAGAUUUAACGCUGAUGAGGCUUCGGYSRAAUCUUGUUAAAUCUUAGUGGCGGACGGGUGAGUAACGCGUGGGCAACCUGCCUCGUACUGGGGGAUAACAGUUGGAAACGACUGUUAAUACCGCAUAAGCGCACGGUGUCGCAUGACACAGUGUGAAAAACUCCGGUGGUACGAGAUGGGCCCGCGUCAGAUUAGCCAGUUGGUGGGGUAACGGCCUACCAAAGCAACGAUCUGUAGCCGGACUGAGAGGUCGGACGGCCACAUUGGGACUGAGACACGGCCCAAACUCCUACGGGAGGCAGCAGUGGGGGAUAUUGCACAAUGGGCGAAAGCCUGAUGCAGCGACGCCGCGUGAGUGAAGAAGUAUUUCGGUAUGUAAAGCUCUAUCAGCAGGGAAGAAAGACCCGCAA